GAGUCAUUAGCUCAAUCGGUAGAGCACCUAAUUGUCAAUUAGGAUUAUUUCAGUUCAAAUCUGUAAUGACUCG
RNAcentral lists this transfer RNA (73 nucleotides) under Flammulina velutipes. RNAcentral describes it as "tRNA-Asp". It matches the Rfam family "tRNA". From Rfam's summary of the family: Transfer RNA (tRNA) molecules are approximately 80 nucleotides in length. Their secondary structure includes four short double-helical elements and three loops (D, anti-codon, and T loops). Further hydrogen bonds mediate the characteristic L-shaped molecular structure. tRNAs have two regions of fundamental functional importance: the anti-codon, which is responsible for specific mRNA codon recognition, and the 3' end, to which the tRNAs corresponding amino acid is attached (by aminoacyl-tRNA synthetases). tRNAs cope with the degeneracy of the genetic code in two manners: having more than one tRNA (with a specific anti-codon) for a particular amino acid; and 'wobble' base-pairing, i.e. permitting non-standard base-pairing at the 3rd anti-codon position. Lineage: Eukaryota; Fungi; Basidiomycota; Agaricomycetes; Agaricales; Physalacriaceae. The record is from RNAcentral.